GACGAACGCUGGCGGCGUGCUUAACACAUGCAAGUCGAACGGAAAGGCCCUGCUUUUGUGGGGUGCUCGAGUGGCGAACGGGUGAGUAACACGUGAGUAACCUGCCCUUGACUUUGGGAUAACUUCAGGAAACUGGGGCUAAUACCGGAUAGGAGCUCCUGCUGCAUGGUGGGGGUUGGAAAGUUUCGGCGGUUGGGGAUGGACUCGCGGCUUAUCAGCUUGUUGGUGGGGUAGUGGCUUACCAAGGCUUUGACGGGUAGCCGGCCUGAGAGGGUGACCGGCCACAUUGGGACUGAGAUACGGCCCAGACUCCUACGGGAGGCAGCAGUGGGGAAUUUUGCACAAUGGGCGGAAGCCUGAUGCAGCAACGCCGCGUGCGGGAUGACGGCCUUCGGGUUGUAAACCGCUUUCGCCUGUGACGAAGCGUGAGUGACGGUAAUGGGUAAAGAAGCACCAGCUAACUACGUG
RNAcentral lists this ribosomal RNA (468 nucleotides) under uncultured bacterium. RNAcentral describes it as "partial 16S ribosomal RNA". It matches the Rfam family "Bacterial small subunit ribosomal RNA", at positions 28 to 507 of the family's 1533-position model. The record is from RNAcentral.